UCGAGUUAUGAUAAUUCAUUAUCAAACUUCAUCCUAUGUUUACAUACUUUGUAUACUUUGGCAAGACGCUUUGACUUGUAGUUGGAGUUUGACACUAGUUAAGCGACGCCACAAGAAAAAGCCACUGACGUCAUUUACUUGACAGUGAGUGUGUUUGCUUGCCAAAGGUCUUAACUCUUUUAUACUGUUGUCUGAGUACUACAAAAAUAAAUUA
RNAcentral lists this unclassified non-coding RNA (214 nucleotides) under uncultured fungus. RNAcentral's name for it is "sequence contains ITS1, 5.8S rRNA gene". Lineage: Eukaryota; Fungi. The record is from RNAcentral.